UACGGAAGGUCCGGGCGUUAUCCGGAUUUAUUGGGUUUAAAGGGAGCGCAGGCGGUCUGCUAAGCGUGACGUGAAAUGUACGGGCUCAACCUGUGCAGUGCGUCGCGUACUGGCGGACUUGAGUGCACUCGAGGCAGGCGGAAUUCGUGGUGUAGCGGUGAAAUGCUUAGAUAUCACGAGGAACCCCGAUUGCGAAGGCAGCCUGCCAGGUUGCAACUGACGCUAAUGCUCGAAGGUGCGGGUAUCGAACAGG
This 253-nucleotide ribosomal RNA is filed under the name uncultured bacterium. RNAcentral's name for it is "partial 16S ribosomal RNA". It matches the Rfam family "Bacterial small subunit ribosomal RNA", at positions 524 to 776 of the family's 1533-position model. The record is from RNAcentral.